Molecule: ribosomal RNA, 274 nt
Filed under: uncultured bacterium
Lineage: Bacteria
Description: partial 16S ribosomal RNA
Rfam family: Bacterial small subunit ribosomal RNA
Source: RNAcentral
CUACGGAGGGUGCAAGCGUUACUCGGAAUCACUGGGCGUAAAGCGCGCGCAGGCGGCUAUUUAAGUUGGAUGUGAAAGCCUACGGCUCAACCGUAGAACUGCAUCCAAAACUAUUUAGCUAGAGUGUGGGAGAGGAAGAUGGAAUUAGUUGUGUAGGGGUAAAAUCCGUAGAGAUAACUAGGAAUACCAAAAGCGAAGGCAAUCUUCUGGAACACUACUGACGCUGAGGCGCGAAAGCGUGGGGAGCAAACGGGAUUAGAAACCCUAGUAGUCC